Molecule: ribosomal RNA, 503 nt
Filed under: uncultured microorganism
Description: bacterial SSU rRNA
Rfam family: Bacterial small subunit ribosomal RNA
Source: RNAcentral
GAGUUUGAUCUUGGCUCAGGACGAACGCUGGCGGCGUGCCUAACACAUGCAAGUCGAGCGGAGACAGUGAGUAGCUUGCUAUGAGCUGUUUUAGCGGCGGACGGGUGAGUAACGCGUGAGCAACCUUUCCCAGACAGGGGAAUAACACACCGAAAGGUGUACUAAUACCGCAUAAGACCACGGGAUCACAUGGUUCUGGGGUAAAAGAUUUAUCGGUUUGGGGUGGGCUCGCGUCCGAUUAGGUAGUUGGUGAGGUAACGGCCCACCAAGCCGACGAUCGGUAGCCGACCUGAGAGGGUGAUCGGCCACAUUGGGACUGAGACACGGCCCAAACUCCUACGGGAGGCAGCAGUGGGGAAUAUUGGGCAAUGGGGGAACCCUGACCCAGCAACGCCGCGUGGAGGAAGAAGGUUUCGGAUCGUAAACUCCUGUCCUUGGAGACGAGUAGAAGACGGUAUCCAAGGAGGAAGCCCGGCUAACUACGUGCCAGCAGCCGCCGCGGU